RNAcentral lists this ribosomal RNA (497 nucleotides) under uncultured bacterium. RNAcentral describes it as "partial 16S ribosomal RNA". It matches the Rfam family "Bacterial small subunit ribosomal RNA", at positions 28 to 507 of the family's 1533-position model. The record is from RNAcentral.
GAUGAACGCUGGCGGCGUGCCUAAUACAUGCAAGUCGAGCGAACAGACGAGGAGCUUGCUCCUCUGACGUUAGCGGCGGACGGGUGAGUAACACGUGGAUAACCUACCUAUAAGACUGGGAUAACUUCGGGAAACCGGAGCUAAUACCGGAUAAUAUAUUGAACCGCAUGGUUCAAUAGUGAAAGACGGUUUUGCUAUCACUUAUAGAUGGAUCCGCGCCGCAUUAGCUAGUUGGUAAGGUAACGGCUUACCAAGGCGACGAUGCGUAGCCGACCUGAGAGGGUGAUCGGCCACACUGGAACUGAGACACGGUCCAGACUCCUACGGGAGGCAGCAGUAGGGAAUCUUCCGCAAUGGGCGAAAGCCUGACGGAGCAACGCCGCGUGAGUGAUGAAGGUCUUCGGAUCGUAAAACUCUGUUAUUAGGGAAGAACAAAUGUGUAAGUAACCAUGCACGUCUUGACGGUACCUAAUCAGAAAGCCACGGCUAACUACGUG